Molecule: ribosomal RNA, 758 nt
Filed under: Chloroflexota bacterium
Lineage: Bacteria; Bacillati; Chloroflexota
Description: bacterial SSU rRNA
Rfam family: Bacterial small subunit ribosomal RNA
Source: RNAcentral
GGAGAGUUUGAUCCUGGCUCAGGACAAACGCUGGCGGGGUGCGUGAGACAUGCAAGUCGAACGGGGUUGGUCGGGCUUGCUCGACCAACCUAGUGGCGGACGGCUGAGUAGCGCGUAGGUGACCUGCCCGGAAGUGGGGAAUAACUGCCCGAAAGGGUGGCUAAUACCGCAUGUGGUCGGCGAUUCGCUUCGCCGUCUAAAGCCGCAAGGCGCUUCCGGAGGGGCCUGCGUCCGAUUAGCUAGUUGGUGGGGUAACGGCUCACCAAGGCGACGAUCGGUAGCUGGUCUGAGAGGAUGAUCAGCCAGACUGGGACUGAGAACGGCCCAGACUCCUACGGGAGGCAGCAGUCGGGAAUUUUGCCCAAUGGACGAAAGUCUGAGGCAGCAACUCCGCGUGAGGGAUGAAGGCUCUCGGGUCGUAAACCUCUUUUCUCAGGGAAGAUACAAGACGGUACCUGAGGAAUAAGCCACGGCUAACUACGUGCCAGCAGCCGCGGUAAUACGUAGGUGGCGAGCGUUGUCCGGAUUUACUGGGCGUAAAGAGCGCGCAGGCGGCUGGACAAGUCCGAUGUGAAAGCUUCCGGCUCAACCGGGAAACCGCAUCGGAAACUGUCCGGCUUGAAGGUGGGAGAGGGUAGUGGAAUUCCCGGUGUAGUGGUGAAAUGCGUAGAUAUCGGGAGGAACACCAGUGGCGAAGGCGACUACCUGGCCCACUCUUGACGCUGAGGCGCGAAAGCUAGGGGAGCGAACGGGAUUAG